Molecule: long non-coding RNA, 308 nt
Organism: Stomoxys calcitrans (stable fly)
Lineage: Eukaryota; Metazoa; Arthropoda; Insecta; Diptera; Muscidae
Exons: 2
Source: RefSeq, a predicted model, not a curated record
AAUACAAACUGUCACUUGUCACCAGCAUCACCACAUUUAUAACGCUUAAAGCCGAUAUCCUGUAGAAAAAUGAAUUUCGUAAAUAUUUUCCUUUUUGUUGGCGUUGUACUUGCCAUAUUCACUGGAGAAAUUGAGGCUAGACGAAGAGGCUCUGCUCGCAAAAACGCCAUGAAACAUGUGGGUGAAAAGGCCAUGGAAGGAGUUGGUCCAGCCGUAAUCGGAAAGAUUUUCGAAGGAUAACUCAUAUAUGCAUAUCAAUAGAAUAUUGAAAUAUAGCAAAAUCUUAACAAAUUAAUGCAAAUCUAAAA